CACUUGAUAGCACAACGGUUAGUGCGCCUGCCUCACUUGAAAGGGCAUUCAGCUGUGUAAGCAGGAGAUCCCCGUCCGAUGCGGGGUCAGGUCG
Molecule: non-coding RNA, 94 nt
Organism: Mycena crocata
Lineage: Eukaryota; Fungi; Basidiomycota; Agaricomycetes; Agaricales; Mycenaceae
Source: the annotation of a GenBank genome assembly